This 866-nucleotide ribosomal RNA is filed under the name uncultured bacterium. RNAcentral describes it as "bacterial SSU rRNA". It matches the Rfam family "Bacterial small subunit ribosomal RNA", at positions 51 to 916 of the family's 1533-position model. The record is from RNAcentral.
AUACAUGCAAGUCGAACGGCAAGUUGAAUAGCAAUAUUUGACCUAGAGUGACGUACGGGUGCGUAACACGUAUGCAACCUACCCAAAACUGGAGGAUAGCUCGGGGAAACUCGAAUUAACCCUCCAUAAGAUCAUAGAGUAGCAUUACUUAGUGAUUAAAACUCCGGUGGUUUUGGAUGGGCAUGCGUCUGAUUAGUUAGUUGGCGGGGUAACGGCCCACCAAGACGAUGAUCAGUAGGGGAACUGAGAGGUUGAUCCCCCACACUGGCACUGAGAUACGGGCCAGACUCCUACGGGAGGCAGCAGUAGGGAAUAUUGGUCAAUGGGUGCAAGCCUGAACCAGCCAUGCCGCGUGCAGGAAGAAGGCGUUAUGCGUUGUAAACUGCUUUUGCCAGGGGAUAAAAUUUCCUUGCGAGGAACAUUGAAGGUACCUGGUGAAUAAGCCACGGCUAACUACGUGCCAGCAGCCGCGGUAAUACGUAGGUGGCAAGCGUUGUCCGGAUUUAUUGGGUUUAAAGGGUGCGUAGGCGGCCCUGUAAGUCAGUGGUGAAAUACUCUAGCUUAACUAGAGGGGUGCCAUUGAUACUGCAGGGCUUGAGUGGAGUCGAAGUAGGCGGAAUUGACGGUGUAGCGGUGAAAUGCUUAGAUAUCGUCAAGAACACCGAUAGUGAAGACAGUUUACUAGGCUUCUACUGACGCUGAGGCACGAAAGUGUGGGGAUCAAACAGGAUUAGAUACCCUGGUAGUCCACACUGUAAACGUUGAUUACUCGCUGUUGGCGAUACACAGCCAGCGGCCAAGCGCAAGCGAUAAGUAAUCCACCUGGGGAGUACGCCGGCAACGGUGAAACUCAAAAAAAUUGACGG